UGGCCAAUGACUGAGGAUCGAUGACUCCCAGUCAGUCCGCCUCAUAAAACAUAGGAUUUAUGUUGUUGCAUCUGCCAGUGUCCUUUGUCGAGAGUUACAUAUCGAACAAGCAUCGGGUCUGCCUGGGCGGGGCAAGGUGAGGAGGAACGGUGCGGAUGAGCGGAGGGUUGUGGGAUCGUUUCUUCGUAUUGUUUAUGGGUUUUUUUAUUUGGUUUCUUCAUUGUUGGAUCCUGGUUAACCUGGAUAGGAGGGUUGGAUUGUGUACUUCGGAAGGGUUCUGGGGAGGAAUGCGAUGGGCAGGAUGGGGCUGAUGGUGCUACUGGACAAAAUCACCGAGUAAUUUCAGGCAGUAUAUUUGUUGUUCUCCUGUUCUUUUCGCGGCUUUUGGAGGUGCUAUACGUUGUUUUCAUCGUUGGGUUUCUCUUGCUGCAGACACACACACCCCUUUGCGGCUCUUUUUAUUCUAUAAAUUACUCGCUGUUAAGGAGCGAUGCAAAAACCUCUGUACUGUCUGGUAUGUGCGUAUUCUGGUUUAUCUAAAAGAAAGAAAUUCGUUUCUUUGACUGCGCACAUAUAUGGGGCUCCCCUACGGAUAUCAAGGUAAGUUAACUGACUGACAUGG
RNAcentral lists this small RNA (622 nucleotides) under Histoplasma capsulatum var. duboisii H88. RNAcentral's name for it is "Histoplasma capsulatum H88 hypothetical RNA". The record is from RNAcentral. Lineage: Eukaryota; Fungi; Ascomycota; Eurotiomycetes; Onygenales; Ajellomycetaceae.